Molecule: ribosomal RNA, 301 nt
Filed under: uncultured bacterium
Lineage: Bacteria
Description: partial 16S ribosomal RNA
Rfam family: Bacterial small subunit ribosomal RNA
Source: RNAcentral
CAGCAGCCGCGGUAAAACGGAGGGUGCAAGCGUUAUCCGGAUUUAUUGGGUUUAAAGGGUCCGUAGGCGGAUCUGUAAGUCAGUGGUGAAAUCUCACAGCUUAACUGUGAAACUGCCAUUGAUACUGCAGGUCUUGAGUAAAUUUGAAGUGGCUGGAAUAAGUAGUGUAGCGGUGAAAUGCAUAGAUAUUACUUAGAACACCAAUUGCGAAGGCAGGUCACUAAGAUUUAACUGACGCUGAUGGACGAAAGCGUGGGGAGCGAACAGGAUUAGAUACCCCAGUAGUCCCUGUCUCUUAUAU